RNAcentral lists this unclassified non-coding RNA (279 nucleotides) under plant metagenome. RNAcentral's name for it is "partial contains small subunit ribosomal RNA, internal transcribed spacer 1, and 5.8S ribosomal RNA". The record is from RNAcentral.
UUUCCGUAGGUGAACCUGCGGAAGGAUCAUUAUAGAGUAUAUGACCUUCGGGGUAGACCUCCAACCCCUUGUUUAUAUUACCUUUAUUGUUUUGGCAGUUCCGUCUUUGGACAACCGGCUUUGGUUGGUAUGCGCCCGCUACAGGCUCCAAAACCAUGCAUAUUAACUUUGUCUGAGUACUAUAUAAUUGUUAAAACUUUCAAUAACGCACCUUUUGGUUCGGGCAUCGAUGUAGUACGAAGCAGCUGGGUAGACCACUCGUCUGAACUCUUGUCGCCC